UACGUAGGGUCCAAGCGUUAUCCGGAAUCACUGGGCGUAAAGCGUGCGUAGGCGGUCUGUUAAGUGAGAUGUGAAAUCGUGUGGCUCAACCAUAUCGUUGUGUCUCAUACUGGCAGACUAGAGGAUAGCAGAGGCAAGUGGAAUUACGAGUGUAGCAGUGAAAUGCGUAGAGAUUCGUAGGAACACCAAUGACGAAGGCAGCUUGCUGGGCUAUAUCUGACGCUCAGGCACGAAAGCGUGGGGAGCGAACAGG
This 253-nucleotide ribosomal RNA is filed under the name uncultured bacterium. Its description in RNAcentral is "partial 16S ribosomal RNA". It matches the Rfam family "Bacterial small subunit ribosomal RNA", at positions 524 to 776 of the family's 1533-position model. The record is from RNAcentral.